CCUACGGUGGGCUGCAGUGGGGAAUAUUGCACAAUGGAGGGAACUCUGAUGCAGCGACGCCGCGUGAGUGAAGAAGUAAUUCGUUAUGUAAAGCUCUAUCAGCAGGGAAGAAAGUGACGGUACCUGAAAAAGAAGCUCCGGCUAAAUACGUGCCAGCAGCCGCGGUAAUACGUAUGGAGCAAGCGUUGUCCGGAAUGACUGGGUGUAAAGGGUGUGUAGGUGGCUUAUUAAGUUAGAGGUGAAAGCCCGAAGCUCAACUUCGGAACUGCCUUUAAAACUGGUUGGCUUGAGUGUGGGAGAGGUUAGUGGAACUCCUAGUGUAGCGGUGGAAUGCGUAGAUAUUAGGAAGAACAUCAGAGGCGAAGGCGACUAACUGGAACAUUACUGACACUGAAACACGAAAGCGUGGGGAGCAAACAGGAUUAGAUACCCGGGUAGUC
This 440-nucleotide ribosomal RNA is filed under the name uncultured bacterium. Its description in RNAcentral is "partial 16S ribosomal RNA". It matches the Rfam family "Bacterial small subunit ribosomal RNA", at positions 338 to 795 of the family's 1533-position model. The record is from RNAcentral.